Molecule: ribosomal RNA, 301 nt
Filed under: uncultured bacterium
Lineage: Bacteria
Description: partial 16S ribosomal RNA
Rfam family: Bacterial small subunit ribosomal RNA
Source: RNAcentral
CAGCCGCCGCGGGAACACGAAGGGGGCUAGCGUUGUUCGGAAUUACUGGGCGUAAAGCGUGCGUAGGCGGUUUGUUAAGUCUGUUGUGAAAUCCCCGGGCUCAACCUGGGAAUGGCAGUGGAUACUGGCUCGCUAGAGUGUGUCAGAGGAUGGUGGAAUUCCCGGUGUAGCGGUGAAAUGCGUAGAGAUCGGGAGGAACAUCAGUGGCGAAGGCGGCCAUCUGGGACAACACUGACGCUGAGGCACGAAAGCGUGGGGAGCAAACAGGAUUAGAUACCCGCGUAGUCCCUGUCUCUUAUAC